This is a non-coding RNA of Opisthorchis viverrini, 537 nucleotides long. The record is from Rfam. Lineage: Eukaryota; Metazoa; Platyhelminthes; Trematoda; Opisthorchiida; Opisthorchiidae.
GGAAGUAUUUCAAAAAAGCUGCGUACCCUUGAUUAAGGUUAGUCUUCUCCUUCCACCAAACAUAGGCUCCUAACAUCGCGCUUAAUGACACCGGAGCUUUUGUGAAGGUAAACCGUUCUGAAGGGCCAUCUGUCACUGUACCCAAUGACCACCUUCCUGGAUAGACCUUGUAGUCGGGUUGUUUGUGAAUGCAGCCCAAAGCGGGUGGUAAACUCAAUCCAAGGCUAAAUACUUGCACCAGUCCGAUAGCAAACAAGUACCGGGACGGAAAGUUAAAAACCACUUUGAAGAGAGAGUAAACAGUGAUGAGUACGGGAAUGCUGACAUGGCCCAAAAGGGGGUGAAAGGCCCGUUGGGCUGGAUAGGCAGAAAUGACGAUACACUUGCGUAACCAUUCCUUUGAAGUUUUACUGGUUCGGUUGCUAACUUUGAUGCUCAUUGCUCAAGAAGUCGAAGCGGUCGCUACAGAUGUCAUUAGGUUUAAUUCGGAUCGGAAAACGAUUAAUCGCGUUCCGGCCACUUCAAACUCUAAAACGG